RNAcentral lists this long non-coding RNA (227 nucleotides) under Panax ginseng (ginseng). RNAcentral's name for it is "long non-coding RNA (PGIN_LNC013928)". The record is from RNAcentral. Lineage: Eukaryota; Viridiplantae; Streptophyta; Magnoliopsida; Apiales; Araliaceae.
CAAUACUUAGGCAAAAAGUCAAAAAAGAGGCCUAAACCCGUCUCGGCCGUCGUAAUGACACACAAAUGCAUGCAUAGCAUUGCGUAGGUAUUAGACACGCGAUACAACUUACGGGACUAGAUUCUGACUUACGGAGGCCAAGUUAUCAGCCCGUAGGGAAAACUGACCAACACUUAGGAAAAUUUCGAAAAAGAGGUCAAAACCCGCCUCGGCCGUCGUAACAACAC